UACGGAGGGUGCAAGUGUUGUUCGGAAUCACUGGGCGUAAAGGGCGUGUAGGCGGUCCGCUAAGUCUGAUGUGAAAGCCCGGGGCUCACCCCCGGAAGGGCAUUGGAAACUGGCGGACUCGAGUCCCGGAGAGGAAGGUGGAAUUCCUGGUGUAGCGGUGAAAUGCGUAGAGAUCGGGAAGAACAUCGGUGGCGAAAGCGCUCUACUGGACCGCAACUGACACUCAGGGACGAAAGCUAGGGGAGCGAAUGGG
RNAcentral lists this ribosomal RNA (253 nucleotides) under uncultured bacterium. RNAcentral describes it as "partial 16S ribosomal RNA". It matches the Rfam family "Bacterial small subunit ribosomal RNA", at positions 524 to 776 of the family's 1533-position model. The record is from RNAcentral.